Molecule: ribosomal RNA, 375 nt
Filed under: uncultured Glomeraceae
Lineage: Eukaryota; Fungi; Glomeromycota; Glomeromycetes; Glomerales; Glomeraceae
Description: LSU rRNA
Source: RNAcentral
UUGAAAGGGAAACGAUUGAAGUCAGUCAUACCAACGGGAAAUCAACCUUUUGAGCUCGGUUUCGUGGGUUUUGAAGAGUUUCAAAGCCUUCGGAUUCGCGAGAUUGGGAUCUCUCGGUGUACUUUCUCGUACGGUUAGUCAACAUCGGUUUUGAAUGUCAUAAAAUGACUGGAGGAAUGUAGCUUCGAUCUCGUAUUGAAGUGUUAUAGCCUUUGGUAGAUGUGAUGUUUGAGACCGAGGAUUGCAACGGAUACCCUUCAGGGCUAUUCGUCUGAUCUCUGAUACGUUGCCCUGAUGUUGAAAGCUUGCUUAUGAUGUUAGGGUAUUACGGUCAAAAGGUUAGAACGAAUUACAUUCGUUAAGGAUGUUGACGUA